GAGAUCGGGGGGGCAACUCUCCGGUUGAGUGGCGGACGGGUGAGUAACACGUGGGUAACCUGCCCGGAAGUGUGGAAUACCUCGGGGAAACUCGAGCUAAUACCGCAUGACAUCUUUGGGACGAGAGUCCUGACGAUCAAAGCGGGGUCGCAAGACCUCGCGCUACCGGAUGGGCCCGCGCCCGAUUAGCUAGUUGGCGAGGUAACGGCUCACCAAGGCAACGAUCGGUAGCCGGCCUGAGAGGGUGAUCGGCCACACCGGAACUGAGACACGGUCCGGACUCCUACGGGAGGCAGCAGUGGGGAAUCUUGCGCAAUGGGCGAAAGCCUGACGCAGCAACGCCGCGUGGAGGAUGAAGGCCCUUGGGUUGUAAACUCCUGUCGGCUGGGAAGAAAUCGUUCGGGGCUAAUACCUCCGGACGUUGACUGUACCAGCAAAGGAAGCCCCGGCUAACUCUGUGCCAGCAGCCGCGGUAAUACAGAGGGGGCCAGCGUUAUUCGGAAUUAUUGGGCGUAAAGGGCGCGUAGGCGGCCACGCGUGUCUUUCGUGAAAUCCCUCGGCUUAACUGAGGACGUGCGGAAGAAACUGCGAGGCUCGAGUCCGGGAGAGGGGGGUGGAAUUCCCAGUGUA
Molecule: ribosomal RNA, 630 nt
Filed under: uncultured Acidobacteriota bacterium
Lineage: Bacteria; Pseudomonadati; Acidobacteriota
Description: bacterial SSU rRNA
Rfam family: Bacterial small subunit ribosomal RNA
Source: RNAcentral